GGUGAAACCGCGAAAGGCUCAUUAAAUCAGUUAUGGUUCCUUAGAUCGUACCCACACUUACUUGGAUAACUGUGGUAAUUCUAGAGCUAAUACAUGCAAACAGAGCUCCGACCGGAGACGGGAGGGGUGCUUUUAUUAGAUCAAAACCAAUCGGCGGCGGGCGCGCUCGCGCGUCCGUUCGCCGCUCAACCUGGUGACU
Molecule: ribosomal RNA, 199 nt
Filed under: Hydroporus gyllenhalii
Lineage: Eukaryota; Metazoa; Arthropoda; Insecta; Coleoptera; Dytiscidae
Description: partial 18S ribosomal RNA
Rfam family: Eukaryotic small subunit ribosomal RNA
Source: RNAcentral